Molecule: small nucleolar RNA, 67 nt
Organism: Betta splendens (Siamese fighting fish)
Lineage: Eukaryota; Metazoa; Chordata; Actinopteri; Anabantiformes; Osphronemidae
Gene: SNORD58
Rfam family: Small nucleolar RNA SNORD58
About the family: snoRNA U58 is found in introns 1, 3 and 6 of the ribosomal protein RPL17 gene in humans. U58 is a member of the C/D class of snoRNA which contain C (UGAUGA) and D (CUGA) box motifs.
Source: Ensembl
CUGCACUGAUGACGUCUUAGGACACCUUUUAGAUGAAUGAUGAAAGUAACCCUUCAAUCUGAGCAGC